Molecule: ribosomal RNA, 475 nt
Filed under: Blastocystis hominis
Lineage: Eukaryota; Bigyra; Opalinata; Blastocystidae
Description: bacterial SSU rRNA
Rfam family: Eukaryotic small subunit ribosomal RNA
Source: RNAcentral
GGAGGUAGUGACAAUAAAUCACAAUGCGGAACAAUGUUUUGCAAUUGGAUUGAGAACAACGUACAAACCUUAUCGAUAAACAAUUGGAGGGCAAGUCUGGUGCCAGCAGCCGCGGUAAUUCCAGCUCCAAUAGCGUAUAUUAACGUUGUUGCAGUUAAAAAGCUCGUAGUUGAAAUGAAGGGUAGUUGUGUAAUGAAUACAUUCGUGUAUUUUGUUAUUCAAGUACCCUCCUUCUAAAUUCGAUAUAUGAGUAUUAAUUUAAUUUACUUGUAUAUGGUUUUAGACGUUUACUGUGAGAAAAUUAGAGUGUUCAAAGCAGGCAUUUGCUUGAAUAUAUUAGCAUGGAAUAAUCAUGUAUGAUUUUCAUGAUGUAUUUGAUUGGUUUGGUUCAUGAGAAUAAGAUUAAAAGGGACAGUUGGGGGUAUUCAUAUUCAAUAGUCAGAGGUGAAAUUCUCGGAUUUAUGGAAGAUGAACA